GCAAUGGCAUUGGAAAUGCUAUUCUUCCGGUCGAAAACAAAAACCAAUUCAGCAGAGUCGCCUAUAAGCUCUUUCAAGUUGGACAUAAACCACAUCCACGAUCUAUUUGUUUCAGCAUCAACGAUCCCCCAUGCCAAGGGAUAUAUCUGUUUGUUGGCAUCUUGGCCGGUUGCCAGCAAAAGUGUACCUUUGUAUGGACCUUUCAAGUGACUACCGUCAACACAAA
RNAcentral lists this long non-coding RNA (226 nucleotides) under Olea europaea (common olive). RNAcentral describes it as "long non-coding RNA (OEUR_LNC008712)". Lineage: Eukaryota; Viridiplantae; Streptophyta; Magnoliopsida; Lamiales; Oleaceae. The record is from RNAcentral.